AUUGAACGCUGGCGGCAGGCCUAACACAUGCAAGUCGAGCGAGUGGCGGACGGGUGAGUAAUGCUUGGGAAUCUAGCUUAUGGAGGGGGAUAACUACGGGAAACUGUAGCUAAUACCGCAUACCAUAGGAUGAGCACAUGUGGGAUUAGGUAGUUGGUGAGGUAAAGGCGCACCAAGCCUACGAUCUCUAGCUGGUCUGAGAGGAUGACCAGCCACACUGGAACUGAGACACGGCCCAGACUCCUACGGGAGGCAGCAGUGGGGAAUAUUGCGUAAUGGGGGCAACCUGAAGCAGCCAUGCCGCGUGAAUGAAGAAGGCCUUCGGGUUUUAAAGUUCUUUCGGUGGCGAGGCGUUACCUACAGAAGAAGCACCGGCUAACUCCGUGCCAGCAGCCGCGGUAAUUC
This 405-nucleotide ribosomal RNA is filed under the name uncultured bacterium. RNAcentral describes it as "partial 16S ribosomal RNA". It matches the Rfam family "Bacterial small subunit ribosomal RNA", at positions 30 to 526 of the family's 1533-position model. The record is from RNAcentral.